GGAGUUUGGUCCGUGUCUCAGUACCAAUGUGGGGGACCUUCCUCUCAGAACCCCUACUGAUCGUAGGCUUGGUGGGCCGUUACCCCGCCAACAACCUAAUCAGACGCAUCCCCAUCCUAUAGCGGUGAACCUUUGCUUCACGUUAGAUGUCCGCUGUGAAGAAUAUAGGGUAUUAAUCCGAUUUUCACCGGGCUAUCCCCUACUAAGGGGAAGUUGGAUACGCGUUACUCACCCGUGCGCCGGUCGCCAUCAGUCAAAGCAAGCUUUGACCAUGAUGCCCCUCGACUUGCAUGUGUUAAGCCUGUAGCUAGCGUUCAUC
This 319-nucleotide ribosomal RNA is filed under the name uncultured Prevotella sp. RNAcentral's name for it is "partial 16S ribosomal RNA". The record is from RNAcentral. Lineage: Bacteria; Pseudomonadati; Bacteroidota; Bacteroidia; Bacteroidales; Prevotellaceae.